Molecule: long non-coding RNA, 331 nt
Filed under: Hordeum vulgare
Lineage: Eukaryota; Viridiplantae; Streptophyta; Magnoliopsida; Poales; Poaceae
Description: long non-coding RNA (HVUL_LNC007905)
Source: RNAcentral
CUGCAGCUGGAGGCUUGGCAUUCACCAGAACAGGGAGAUCGAUCUAAGACAAGAUAGCACAGUUGGAGACUUACAAGCACGCAUAUUCUCUGUCUUCACUAAAAAAAUAGCACAGAAGUAGAACAUGUAUUAGCGAGUGAACAGGUAAUAGAAGAAGUGGUAGUAGCAAGCUAGACAUGGCCGGAGUCAUGGCAGGGCUUUAGUACAUGUAAUGAUCUAGUUUACCCUGCAGCUGGAGGCUUGGCAUCCACCAGAACAGGGAGAUCGAUCCAAGACAAGAUAACACAGUUGGAGACUUACAAGCACACAUAUUCUCUGUCUUCACUAAAAA